RNAcentral lists this ribosomal RNA (635 nucleotides) under Vibrio sp. RNAcentral's name for it is "bacterial SSU rRNA". It matches the Rfam family "Bacterial small subunit ribosomal RNA", at positions 380 to 1008 of the family's 1533-position model. The record is from RNAcentral. Lineage: Bacteria; Pseudomonadati; Pseudomonadota; Gammaproteobacteria; Vibrionales; Vibrionaceae.
AGCCUGAUGCAGCCAUGCCGCGUGUAUGAAGAAGGCCUUCGGGUUGUAAAGUACUUUCAGCAGUGAGGAAGGGGUGUACGUUAAUAGCGUGCAUCUUUGACGUUAGCUGCAGAAGAAGCACCGGCUAACUCCGUGCCAGCAGCCGCGGUAAUACGGAGGGUGCGAGCGUUAAUCGGAAUUACUGGGCGUAAAGCGCAUGCAGGUGGUUUGUUAAGUCAGAUGUGAAAGCCCGGGGCUCAACCUCGGAAUUGCAUUUGAAACUGGCAGACUAGAGUACUGUAGAGGGGGGUAGAAUUUCAGGUGUAGCGGUGAAAUGCGUAGAGAUCUGAAGGAAUACCGGUGGCGAAGGCGGCCCCCUGGACAGAUACUGACACUCAGAUGCGAAAGCGUGGGGAGCAAACAGGAUUAGAUACCCUGGUAGUCCACGCCGUAAACGAUGUCUACUUGGAGGUUGUGGCCUUGAGCCGUGGCUUUCGGAGCUAACGCGUUAAGUAGACCGCCUGGGGAGUACGGUCGCAAGAUUAAAACUCAAAUGAAUUGACGGGGGCCCGCACAAGCGGUGGAGCAUGUGGUUUAAUUCGAUGCAACGCGAAGAACCUUACCUACUCUUGACAUCCAGAGAACUUCCAGAGAUG